This 253-nucleotide ribosomal RNA is filed under the name uncultured bacterium. Its description in RNAcentral is "partial 16S ribosomal RNA". It matches the Rfam family "Bacterial small subunit ribosomal RNA", at positions 524 to 776 of the family's 1533-position model. The record is from RNAcentral.
UACGUAGGGGGCAAGCGUUAUCCGGAUUUACUGGGUGUAAAGGGAGCGUAGACGGCUUUGCAAGCCAGAUGUGAAAGCCCGGGGCUCAACCCCGGGACUGCAUUUGGAACUGUGUGGCUAGAGUGUCGGAGAGGCAGGCGGAAUUCCUAGUGUAGCGGUGAAAUGCGUAGAUAUUAGGAGGAACACCAGUGGCGAAGGCGGCCUACUGGACGAUGACUGACGUUGAGGCUCGAAAGCGUGGGGAGCAAACAGG